This 351-nucleotide ribosomal RNA is filed under the name uncultured bacterium. RNAcentral describes it as "bacterial SSU rRNA". It matches the Rfam family "Bacterial small subunit ribosomal RNA", at positions 8 to 334 of the family's 1533-position model. The record is from RNAcentral.
AGAGUUCGAUCAUGGCUCAGGACGAACGCUGGCGGCGUGCUUAACACAUGCAAGUCGAACGAGAGGACAUGAAAAGCUUGCUUUUUAUGAAAUCUAGUGGCAAACGGGUGAGUAACACGUAAACAACCUGCCUUCAAGAUGGGGACAACAGACGGAAACGACUGCUAAUACCGAAUACGAUCCGAAAGUCGCAUGACAUUUGGAUGAAAGGGUGGCCUAUCGAAGAAGCUAUCGCUUGAAGAGGGGUUUGCGUCCGAUUAGGUAGUUGGUGAGGUAACGGCCCACCAAGCCGACGAUCGGUAGCCGGUCUGAGAGGAUGAACGGCCACACUGGAACUGAGACACGGUCCAG